CAGUUAAAAAGCUCGUAGUUGGAUUUCGGAGUGGGCCAGUUGGUCCGCCGCAAGGUGUGUUACUGACUGGUUUGCUCUUCUUCGCAAAGACUGCGUGUGCUCUUGAGUGAGUGUGCGUAGGAUUUACGACGUUUACUUUGAAAAAAUUAGAGUGUUCAAAGCAGGCUAUUGCUUGAAUACAUGAGCAUGGAAUAAUGGAAUAGGACUUUGGUCCCAUUUUGUUGGUUUCUAGGGCCGAAGUAAUGAUUAAGAGGGACAAUUGGGGGCAUCCGUAUUUCGUUGUCAGAGGUGAAAUUCUUGGAUUUACGAAAGACGAACAACUGCGAAAGCACUUGCCAAGAGUGUUUUCAUUAAUCAAGAACGAAAGUUAGAGGAUCGAAGACGAUCAGAUACCGUCCUAGUUCUAACCAUAAACGAUGUCGACUAGGGAUCAGCGGGCGUUAUCGUACGACCCCGUUGGCACCUUACGGGAAACCAAAGUUUUUGGAUUCCGGGGGAAGCAUGGUUGCAAAGCUGAAACUUAAAGGAAUUGACGGAAGGGCACCACCAAGAGUGGAGCCUGUGGCUCAAUUUUGACUCA
Molecule: ribosomal RNA, 580 nt
Filed under: uncultured marine eukaryote
Lineage: Eukaryota
Description: SSU rRNA
Rfam family: Eukaryotic small subunit ribosomal RNA
Source: RNAcentral